AGAUACCCCUGUAGUCCCAGCCCUAAACGAUGCGCGUUAGGUGUAUCGGUGACCACGAGUCACCGAGGUGCCGAAGGGAAGCCGUGAAGCGAGCCACCUGGGAAGUACGGCCGCAAGGCUGAAACUUAAAGGAAUUGGCGGGGGAGCACAACAACGGGUGGAGCUUGCGGUUUAAUUGGAUUCAACGCCGGAAAUCUUACCGGGACCGACAGCAACAUGAAGGCCAAGCUGAAGACUUUGCCGGAUUUAGCUG
Molecule: ribosomal RNA, 253 nt
Filed under: uncultured archaeon
Lineage: Archaea
Description: partial 16S ribosomal RNA
Rfam family: Archaeal small subunit ribosomal RNA
Source: RNAcentral